CAGGAUGAACGCUAGCGACAGGCUAACACAUGCAAGUCGAGGGGCAGUCACGGGAGUAGCAAUACAACUGGUGGCGACGGCGCACGGGUGAGUAACGCGUAUGCAACCUACCUAUCGAGAGGGGAAUAACCCGGCGAAAGUCGGACUAAUACCGCAUAAAACAGGGGCACCGCAUGGUGAUAUUUGUUAAAGAAAUUCGCUGAUAGAUGGGCAUGCGUUCCAUUAGGUAGUUGGUGAGGUAACGGCUCACCAAGCCGACGAUGGAUAGGGGAACUGAGAGGUUGGUCCCCCACACUGGUACUGAGACACGGACCAGACUCCUACGGGAGGCAGCAGUGAGGAAUAUUGGUCAAUGGGCGGGAGCCUGAACCAGCCAAGUCGCGUGGAAAAGGAAGAAGGAUCUAUGGUUCGUAAACUUCUUUUGCAGGGGAAUAAAGUGCAGGACGUGUCCUGUUUUGUAUGUACCCUGAGAAUAAGGAUCGGCUAACUCCGUGCCAGCAGCCGC
RNAcentral lists this ribosomal RNA (505 nucleotides) under uncultured bacterium. Its description in RNAcentral is "bacterial SSU rRNA". It matches the Rfam family "Bacterial small subunit ribosomal RNA", at positions 25 to 518 of the family's 1533-position model. The record is from RNAcentral.